Small nucleolar RNA from Rattus rattus (black rat), 135 nucleotides. RefSeq annotates it as small nucleolar RNA SNORA17. NCBI's taxonomy places the organism in Eukaryota, Metazoa, Chordata, Mammalia, Rodentia, Muridae. The transcript has a single exon. The record is from RefSeq and is a predicted model, not a curated record.
CCUGCCCCUAGAGGCAUUGCUGCUGUGUCAUGUGUGUGUCAAUAGGUAGCAGAGGAGAGAGGCUAUGAGGAGAGAGGCUAUGUCUCAUUCAUUGUUCUGACCUAUGAACAUCUGAAUGACCAGUAGCCUAACAUU